This 460-nucleotide ribosomal RNA is filed under the name uncultured bacterium. Its description in RNAcentral is "partial 16S ribosomal RNA". It matches the Rfam family "Bacterial small subunit ribosomal RNA", at positions 338 to 795 of the family's 1533-position model. The record is from RNAcentral.
CCUACGGGCGACAGCAGUGAGGAAUAUUGGUCAAUGGACGAGAGUCUGAACCAGCCAAGUAGCGUGAAGGAUGACUGCCCUAUGGGUUGUAAACUUCUUUUAUAUGGGAAUAAAAUGUUCCACGUGUGGGAUUUUGUAUGUACCAUAUGAAUAAGGAUCGGCUAACUCCGUGCCAGCAGCCGCGGUAAUACGGAGGAUCCGAGCGUUAUCCGGAUUUAUUGGGUUUAAAGGGAGCGUAGGUGGAUUGUUAAGUCAGUUGUGAAAGUUUGCGGCUCAACCGUAAAAUUGCAGUUGAAACUGGCAGUCGUGAGUACAGUAGAGGUGGGCGGAAGUCGUGGUGUAGCGGUGAAAUGCUUAGAUAUCACGAAGAACUCCGAUUGCGAAGGCAGCUCACUGGACUGCAACUGACACUGAGGCUCGAAAGUGUGGGUAUCAAACAGGAUUAGAUACCCCAGUAGUC